RNAcentral lists this long non-coding RNA (583 nucleotides) under Lathyrus oleraceus (garden pea). Its description in RNAcentral is "Pisum sativum (pea) long non-coding RNA (PSAT_LNC025902)". Lineage: Eukaryota; Viridiplantae; Streptophyta; Magnoliopsida; Fabales; Fabaceae. The record is from RNAcentral.
UAUAACAAUUCAUAAUAAUGGUUCAACAUUAUCUCAACAAAACGUCUCAACAUGUUAGUCAUCAUAAACAACGUAAAUAAUAAUCAAUUAUCUAUCGAAUCCCAUAACCCGGUGUCACAUGACCAGAGCAUUUGACUCGACUCUGUAGAAUAACUCUAACACUUAUUCUUCAAACCUCACAAUAGCUACUCCUUCUUUAUCUGCACAUUGCUCAUCAUAGAUGAACAUAAACACAUGCAGAAGGGGUGAGAAUUACAUUAUUAAAUAAUAAUAUAACGACAGAAAUAUAAACAUAAAUAUAUUUCUCAUAUGCCAACACAGCUCAUCAUAAUCAUCAUAAAUCAACAUAUUCAUGAAUAUCAAACAAAAUAACAUAUCAAAUGCAAUGCACACACCCAUGCAUGACUCAACACGACUCGGUAUAACCCAUUUUGUGACCAACUACAGGAUCACCACUCCCAGAUUCAUCACCAUAGAAUCCGAGUUCCCUGUAAGGAACCAAGCCUCUCAACAAGCCCGGAGUCAACAACAUCAUUGGAACUCAGUCCGUUCAUCACUAGGCAUCGCCUUUCAUGAAUGCAUG